CUCACACAUUAACACUACGGCGGAAAGAAAUAUAGAGCGAAAAGUUGCCGCUGAAAAUUUAAUUCACGGCUCAACUGUCCACUGCACAUAGGUCUGCCAAACUGUGAAAGAUAUGUAGGGCUAUCAAGCACCCCAAAGCUAUUUAUCAACCUAAACGAGUUUGGACGUAAUUCAAUUUCUGGCGCCAGUUUCCGUCUCCUACUUAACAAUAUCAGCUGUGAUGAAUGACUUUAAGAAAGGGGCACAAGGAAAAAAAAUCGGAUCUAGUUCAUAUUUUGGGAUUCGAAGGUAAAGAUGUCAAGUCAUCGAGGACUUAAGUUCAUGAUAAAACUAUCAACAUCUUGUUGAGCAAGAAGGAAUUUUUCUAAGAUGGUCCAAUGAAAGAACGGAUGAGCUUCUUUUUUAAAGCCAUUCAGAGGUGAAUGUCGGAGUUACGAAAACAAAAUAAGCAAAGAAAGCUAUCGGAAGAAUGCCGAUUCAAACAGGCCUAGUACGUGACUUGUUUAAAAACCGUAAAAGUGGAAUCCUAUUUGGUAGAAAGUAUUUCAGGCGAUAUAACAUCUAAAACUCUGAUGAAGUGCCAUGCUUCUAUUACAUAUUUUUGUUGGUUUUUUUAGCAAUCAACUGAGAAUAAGUCAAUACAUGAGGAAAUUGAAACAUGUCUGAUAAUUUCAAAACUUAUUUUUAUUUCAAAUUAAGAAGACUUCUACUCUCACACCUCUGUUUUCCUUCUUUCUUCAUGUAGAUGUACUUUGAUGAUGCACAUUCUUCAUGUACUCAUGUUUUAAAGAUGUACUUUCUUCAUGUGUUCAUCUAGACAGUAUUUUAUAUAAUGGACGCUUUACAUUUAACCGCUUUUUACACCAAAUUUAGUUACUUUCUUAUUCAGUAAUU
Long non-coding RNA from Stegodyphus dumicola, 894 nucleotides. RefSeq lists it as uncharacterized. NCBI's taxonomy places the organism in Eukaryota, Metazoa, Arthropoda, Arachnida, Araneae, Eresidae. The record is from RefSeq and is a predicted model, not a curated record.